UCGGGUCUAUAUACGUCGGGAACAAAACUUGGUUAUAUCAUUGGCCCCCGUGCACCUGUGCUCGAUAAUAUGCACGAGGAUAGGUGCAAAAGGUCCUAAUUACAGUCCUCGGUAUAGAGCCUCUGACGAUUCAAUACUGAGGAAGGACUCCUGAGGGCUGACGUCAAGAUGUGGUAAUGACGCCAGCCCUAGUAGAAAGGCGGUGUAAUUUUUAGACCGUGGGAUGUAGGACACGUG
This 237-nucleotide long non-coding RNA is filed under the name Olea europaea (common olive). RNAcentral's name for it is "long non-coding RNA (OEUR_LNC010797)". The record is from RNAcentral. Lineage: Eukaryota; Viridiplantae; Streptophyta; Magnoliopsida; Lamiales; Oleaceae.